This 576-nucleotide ribosomal RNA is filed under the name uncultured bacterium. Its description in RNAcentral is "bacterial SSU rRNA". It matches the Rfam family "Bacterial small subunit ribosomal RNA", at positions 338 to 916 of the family's 1533-position model. The record is from RNAcentral.
CCUACGGGAGGCAGCAGUGAGGAAUAUUGGACAAUGGGCGCAAGCCUGAUCCAGCCAUGCCGCGUGCAGGAUGACGGUCCUAUGGAUUGUAAACUGCUUUUAUACGAGAAGAAACACUCCGACGUGUCGGAGCUUGACGGUAUCGUAAGAAUAAGGAUCGGCUAACUCCGUGCCAGCAGCCGCGGUAAUACGGAGGAUCCAAGCGUUAUCCGGAAUCAUUGGGUUUAAAGGGUCCGUAGGCGGUUUAAUAAGUCAGUGGUGAAAGCCCAUCGCUCAACGGUGGAACGGCCAUUGAUACUGUUAAACUUGAAUUAUUAGGAAGUAACUAGAAUAUGUAGUGUAGCGGUGAAAUGCUUAGAGAUUACAUGGAAUACCAAUUGCGAAGGCAGGUUACUACUAAUUGAUUGACGCUGAUGGACGAAAGCGUGGGUAGCGAACAGGAUUAGAUACCCUGGUAGUCCACGCCGUAAACGAUGGAUACUAGCUGUUGGGAGCAAUCUCAGUGGCUAAGCGAAAGUGAUAAGUAUCCCACCUGGGGAGUACGUUCGCAAGAAUGAAACUCAAAUGAAUUGACGG